UACGUAGGUGGCAAGCGUUGUCCGGAUUUACUGGGUGUAAAGGGCGUGUAGGCGGUUCGGUAAGUGGAAUGUGAAAUCCCUCGGCUCACCCGAGGACCUGCAUCCCAAACUGCCGAGCUUGAGUAUGGGAGAGGAUGAGGGAAUUCCUGGUGUAGCGGUGAAAUGCGUAGAUAUUGGGAGGAACACCAGUGGCGAAGGCGGCUCACUGGACCGGAACUGACGCUGAGGCGCGAAAGCGUGGGGAGCAAACGGG
Molecule: ribosomal RNA, 253 nt
Filed under: uncultured bacterium
Lineage: Bacteria
Description: partial 16S ribosomal RNA
Rfam family: Bacterial small subunit ribosomal RNA
Source: RNAcentral